GACGAACGCUGGCGGCGUGCUUAACACAUGCCAGUCGAGCGCUGAAGCUCAGCUUUUGUUGGGUGGAUGAGUGGCGAACGGGUGAGUAACACGUGAGUAACCUGCCUCCUUCUUUGGGAUAACGCCCGGAAACGGGUGCUAAUACUGGAUAUUCACUGGUCUUCGCAUGGGGGUUGGUGGAAAGGGUUUUUCUGGUGGGGGAUGGGCUCGCGGCCUAUCAGCUUGUUGGUGGGGUGAUGGCCUACCAAGGCUUUGACGGGUAGCCGGCCUGAGAGGGUGACCGGUCACAUUGGGACUGAGAUACGGCCCAGACUCCUACGGGAGGCAGCAGUGGGGAAUAUUGCACAAUGGGCGCAAGCCUGAUGCAGCGACGCCGCGUGAGGGAUGGAGGCCUUCGGGUUGUGAACCUCUUUCGCUCAUGGUCAAGCCGCAACAAUGGUUGUGGUGAGGGUAGUGGGUAAAGAAGCGCCGGCUAACUACGUG
Molecule: ribosomal RNA, 483 nt
Filed under: uncultured bacterium
Lineage: Bacteria
Description: partial 16S ribosomal RNA
Rfam family: Bacterial small subunit ribosomal RNA
Source: RNAcentral